This 611-nucleotide ribosomal RNA is filed under the name Escherichia coli. Its description in RNAcentral is "partial 23S ribosomal RNA". It matches the Rfam family "Bacterial large subunit ribosomal RNA", at positions 1305 to 1901 of the family's 2925-position model. Lineage: Bacteria; Pseudomonadati; Pseudomonadota; Gammaproteobacteria; Enterobacterales; Enterobacteriaceae. The record is from RNAcentral.
AGUAACGAUAAAGCGGGUGAAAAGCCCGCUCGCCGGAAGACCAAGGGUUCCUGUCCAACGUUAAUCGGGGCAGGGUGAGUCGACCCCUAAGGCGAGGCCGAAAGGCGUAGUCGAUGGGAAACAGGUUAAUAUUCCUGUACUUGGUGUUACUGCGAAGGGGGGACGGAGAAGGCUAUGUUGGCCGGGCGACGGUUGUCCCGGUUUAAGCGUGUAGGCUGGUUUUCCAGGCAAAUCCGGAAAAUCAAGGCUGAGGCGUGAUGACGAGGCACUACGGUGCUGAAGCAACAAAUGCCCUGCUUCCAGGAAAAGCCUCUAAGCAUCAGGUAACAUCAAAUCGUACCCCAAACCGACACAGGUGGUCAGGUAGAGAAUACCAAGGCGCUUGAGAGAACUCGGGUGAAGGAACUAGGCAAAAUGGUGCCGUAACUUCGGGAGAAGGCACGCUGAUAUGUAGGUGAAGUCCCUCGCGGAUGGAGCUGAAAUCAGUCGAAGAUACCAGCUGGCUGCAACUGUUUAUUAAAAACACAGCACUGUGCAAACACGAAAGUGGACGUAUACGGUGUGACGCCUGCCCGGUGCCGGAAGGUUAAUUGAUGGGGUCAGCGCAAGCG